This 403-nucleotide long non-coding RNA is filed under the name Ananas comosus (pineapple). RNAcentral describes it as "long non-coding RNA (ACOM_LNC027172)". The record is from RNAcentral. Lineage: Eukaryota; Viridiplantae; Streptophyta; Magnoliopsida; Poales; Bromeliaceae.
UUCUUUUUUAUUUUUUCUUUUUAAAUUUUAUUUUAUUUUAUUUUUUCAUUGAUAAAAACGUAUAUAAUUUAUAAAAACUAUAUACUAUUUUAAUUUGGCUACUAUCCAAUAUUUCAAUUUAUUUGAUUUAACUUAGUCGAUUGUAUUUUAACUUCAAAUUUUGAACGUAUUAUUUAUUUUUACAAGUUUAAUCAGUAUUUUUCGUGCCCGAUCUCAUAAUAUAAAGUAUAAAUUCAUUACCGUAAAUAAUUAGUUUAAAAUUUAAAGUCAAAAUAUUGUUGAUUGACUCAAAUUAAAUAAAUUAAAUAAUUGAAUAAUAAGAUUAAAAUUUUAAGCAAUUGAAUAUAAUAAAUUUAAUUAGACAAGUUUUAUAUUUUUUUUAAUUUUAUUUUGUGUUUUUAUG